This 253-nucleotide ribosomal RNA is filed under the name uncultured bacterium. RNAcentral's name for it is "partial 16S ribosomal RNA". It matches the Rfam family "Bacterial small subunit ribosomal RNA", at positions 524 to 776 of the family's 1533-position model. The record is from RNAcentral.
UACGAAGGGGGCUAGCGUUGCUCGGAAUCACUGGGCGUAAAGGGUGCGUAGGCGGGUCUUUAAGUCCGGGGUGAAAUCCUGGAGCUCAACUCCAGAACUGCCUUUGAUACUGAAGAUCUUGAGUUCGGGAGAGGUGAGUGGAACUGCGAGUGUAGAGGUGAAAUUCGUAGAUAUUCGCAAGAACACCAGUGGCGAAGGCGGCUCACUGGUCCGGUACUGACGCUGAGGUGCGAAAGCGUGGGGAGCAAACAGG